Long non-coding RNA from Musca domestica (house fly), 1242 nucleotides. RefSeq lists it as uncharacterized. The transcript is spliced from 2 exons. NCBI's taxonomy places the organism in Eukaryota, Metazoa, Arthropoda, Insecta, Diptera, Muscidae. The record is from RefSeq and is a predicted model, not a curated record.
AACCACCGCGUUUUAUCUUUGCAAGAAUAUUAUUCAUUUUCAAUAAUAUAGUCUGUUCAGUUAUAGGUCAUUGUAAGUUUUAUAUGUUAUUGAUUACAACAAAGUAUUUCUAUAUUUUGUAAUUAAUUAAUUGCAGGCGUAAUCUAUUUAAGAAAACAUAACACGUUUUUACGUAUUGCACGAUCUCUUCUUCGUCAAAUGUCGAUAAUAAUAAGCGGUAUUAUCGGUAUUGCUAUUAUAGUUAAUCUUCUUGUUUGUUGUAUGUUAUUAAUAUGUAGCUUUUUCCAGUGUUAACCUUCUGUUGUAGUUGUUCUCAGAUUGUAAUAUUCGUAUUUUGUCAAAGUUUGGUAUGUGAUUGCUACGUUUGCAAGUGUUUUUUCUCCAUAAUGUAAUGUCUGAUUUAUGUCCCAGUAAUCAUUUAUUUUUUUUUAUUUUUUCAUGUUUUGUUCCAUCACAUCCAAUGCUAUAUAUUACAUUGAGUGAGUUAUCGGAAUUUUACUUUUAAUGUUAAUAAUAAACAUUUUAAUAUAUUGUUGUGUUCCUAUCUGCAAUUUAUGUUUGUUGUGUAAAUCAGAGUUUUGGAAUCUUCCAUAUAUUCCAGGAAAAUAAAUCAUUUAUUUGUAAUUUUUCUUAGAUAUCUCCCUCGUUUUUGGUAUUUUAUAUUUGUUUUUUAGUACCAUUUAGUACAGUUCUUACAUAUAGUACACAUUUCUAAAACCACCUCCUUAUAUCAACCCUAGUUUUCCAUCCUAAUUUUUAUACCAAAUGUUCCUCCCAAAUUUUAGAAUUCUGCCUGUAUCUGUUCGACCAGCACAAUCAAAUGAAUUUUGAAAAACUUUUGAUACAAUUAAGGUAAAAAUAGUAUCCCAUAUCCGUCUCCUACCUCUUCACCAAUUUUCGAACAAAUCGGCAUUGGAUGCACAGCAUAGAAAAGCAGUUGCAGAUAUGAUUCAUGAAUUGAGUGAUAAAGCACAGUUCAUUACAACCACGUUUCGACCGGAGCUGUUGGAAAAUGCCCACAAGUUCUAUGGCGUUCGUUUUAGGAAUAAAGUAAGUCACAUUGAUUGUGUUACACGGGAGCAAGCAAAAGACUUUGUGGAAGAUGAUAAUACACAUGCGUAAAAUAUUAUUGUAAAUGAUAAAGAUAUUUGUCAUAUUUACACUCAAAAACGUUAUAAAACCUGUUUAUGUAAUAAUGUAAUUUUUGGCCCAGCUCUUAAUAAAAAAAAUUAUGUAAAGAAA